This 21-nucleotide microRNA is filed under the name Salmo salar (Atlantic salmon). RNAcentral's name for it is "ssa-miR-23a-3-5p". Its record names the gene ssa-miR-23a-3-5p. Lineage: Eukaryota; Metazoa; Chordata; Actinopteri; Salmoniformes; Salmonidae. The record is from miRBase by way of RNAcentral.
GGAAUUCCUGGUAGAGUGAUU